This 460-nucleotide ribosomal RNA is filed under the name uncultured bacterium. Its description in RNAcentral is "partial 16S ribosomal RNA". It matches the Rfam family "Bacterial small subunit ribosomal RNA", at positions 338 to 795 of the family's 1533-position model. The record is from RNAcentral.
CCUACGGGCGGCAGCAGUGAGGAAUAUUGGUCAAUGGACGAGAGUCUGAACCAGCCAAGUAGCGUGAAGGAUGACUGCCCUAUGGGUUGUAAACUUCUUUUAUAUGGGAAUAAAAUGUUCCACGUGUGGGAUUUUGUAUGUACCAUAUGAAUAAGGAUCGGCUAACUCCGUGCCAGCAGCCGCGGUAAUACGGAGGAUCCGAGCGUUAUCCGGAUUUAUUGGGUUUAAAGGGAGCGUAGGUGGUUUGUUAAGUCAGUUGUGAAAGUUUGCGGCUCAACCGUAAAAUUGCAGUUGAAACUGGCAGUCUUGAGUACAGUAGAGGUGGGCGGAAUUCGUGGUGUAGCGGUGAAAUGCUUAGAUAUCACGAAGAACUCCGAUUGCGAAGGCAGUUCACUGGACUGCAACUGACAUUGAUGCUCGAAAGUGUGGGUAUCAAACAGGAUUAGAUACCCCUGUAGUC